RNAcentral lists this ribosomal RNA (301 nucleotides) under uncultured bacterium. Its description in RNAcentral is "partial 16S ribosomal RNA". It matches the Rfam family "Bacterial small subunit ribosomal RNA", at positions 509 to 807 of the family's 1533-position model. The record is from RNAcentral.
CAGUAGCCGCGGUAAUACGAAGGGUGCAAGCGUUACUCGGAAUUACUGGGCGUAAAGCGUGCGUAGGCGGCUUUUUAAGUCGGAUGUGAAAUCCCUGAGCUUAACUUAGGAAUUGCAUUCGAUACUGGGAAGCUAGAGUAUGGGAGAGGAUGGUAGAAUUCCAGGUGUAGCGGUGAAAUGCGUAGAGAUCUGGAGGAAUACCGAUGGCGAAGGCAGCCAUCUGGCCUAAUACUGACGCUGAGGUACGAAAGCAUGGGGAGCAAACAGGAUUAGAUACCCGAGUAGUCCCUGUCUCUUAUAC